AUAUUGCGCAAUGGGCGAAAGCCUGACGCAGCUAUGCCGCGUGUGUGAUGAAGGCCCUCGGGUCGUAAAGCACUGUCGGGAGGGAAGAAGAUCUGACGGUACCUCCCAAGAAAGCACCGGCUAACUCCGUGCCAGCAGCCGCGGUAAUACGGAGGGUGCAAGCGUUGCUCGGAAUCACUGGGCGUAAAGCGUACGCAGGCGGCACGUCAAGUCGGGUGUGAAAGCCCGGGGCUCAACCCCGGAGUUGCAUUCGAAACUGGCGCGCUUGAGUGCGGGAGAGGGAAGCGGAAUUCCUGGUGUAGAGGUGAAAUUCGUAGAUAUCAGGAGGAACACCGGUGGCGAAAGCGGCUUCCUGGCCCGACACUGACGCUCAUGUACGAAAGCGUGGGGAGCAAAC
RNAcentral lists this ribosomal RNA (397 nucleotides) under uncultured bacterium. RNAcentral describes it as "partial 16S ribosomal RNA". It matches the Rfam family "Bacterial small subunit ribosomal RNA", at positions 361 to 773 of the family's 1533-position model. The record is from RNAcentral.